This 507-nucleotide ribosomal RNA is filed under the name uncultured bacterium. RNAcentral describes it as "partial 16S ribosomal RNA". It matches the Rfam family "Bacterial small subunit ribosomal RNA", at positions 28 to 507 of the family's 1533-position model. The record is from RNAcentral.
GACGAACGCUGGCGGCGUGCCUAAUACAUGCAAGUCGAACGCAUUUUCUUUCACCGUAGCUUGCUACACCGAAAGAAAAUGAGUGGCGAACGGGUUAGUAACACGUGGGUAACCUGCCCAUCAGCGGGGGAUAACACUUGGAAACAGGUGCUAAUACCGCAUAAUUCCAUUUACUGCAUGGUAGAUGGAUGAAAGGCGCUUUUGCGUCACUGAUGGAUGGACCCGCGGUGCAUUAGCUAGUUGGUGGGGUAACGGCCUACCAAGGCUGCGAUGCAUAGCCGACCUGAGAGGGUGAUCGGCCACACUGGGACUGAGACACGGCCCAGACUCCUACGGGAGGCAGCAGUAGGGAAUCUUCGGCAAUGGACGCAAGUCUGACCGAGCAACGCCGCGUGAGUGAAGAAGGGUUUCGGAUCGUAAAACUCUGUUGUUAGAAAAGAACAAGGAUGAGAGUGGAAAGUUCAUCCCUUGACGGUAUCUAACCAGAAAGCCACGGCUAACUACGUG